Molecule: long non-coding RNA, 1888 nt
Organism: Nerophis ophidion (straightnose pipefish)
Lineage: Eukaryota; Metazoa; Chordata; Actinopteri; Syngnathiformes; Syngnathidae
Exons: 3
Source: RefSeq, a predicted model, not a curated record
CCAUCCCGGAAUAUUCCGAAAUAAGUCUUUAAAGUGCCUGAUUUUCGCUAUCUGCGAAGCCACCGUCCAUUUUCCUGUGACGUCAUCCAGUGAUAUACAUGCUAUCCAGGCGGAUAGCACAGCAAGAUAUAGCAACAUUAUCUCGGAUUCAGACUCCGAUUUCAGCGGCUUAAGCGAUUCAACAGUUUACGCAUGUAUUGAAACGGAUGGUUGGAGUAUGGAGGCAGAUAGCGAAAACGAAAUUGAAGAAGAAACUGAAGCUAUUGAGCGAAUAGCUAUUGACGCUAUUCGGCCAUGUUUGCCUUAGCAUCACCGGUAAAAUGUGCAGACCGAACGAUUGGGACUUUCGCAUUGAGACUGGAGCAACUUAAAUCCGUCGAUUGGUAAGUGUUUGUUUGGCAUUAAAUUUGGGAAAUGCUGGAUGCAAAUACAGCUACAAAUGUACAUACAGCUAGCCUAAAUAGCAUGUUAGCAUCGAUUAGCUGGCAGUUAUGCCGCGACCAAAUAUGUCUGAUUAGCACAUAUGUAAAUAACAUCAACAAAACUCACCUUUGUGAUUUCGUUGACUUUAUCGUUUGAAAUGCGCCUGCUUUGAGUGUCGCAGGGUAUCCAUUCAUCUCUGUGCCAUAUCUGUUGUAGCAUCGCCGGUAAAAUGUGCGGACCAAACGAGGGACUUUCGCAUCUUUUGACACUGGAGCAACUUAAAUCCGUCGAUUGGAAUGCUUGUCGAGAUGGGGUUGCCUUGUUGUUGAUCAUCUCCCAACACUUGCCAGUUGAGGCUGUGAUUUGAAGUGCAGUGGAAGGAGCUCUUUGGGUGUUGAAUUAUUUCUGAAGGAAAACGUUGGUCAGAUGGCCUGAAAGCCAAAGCGGGAUGGAAACGUCACAUGGAGUGUCCUCGCGUUUAGCUCAAUAAUCUGACAGCAUCCGUACAAAAAGACCUGGCGUGGUGCUCGAUUGACCACCAAAUUAGGAAAUUGCUGUAAUUAUAAUUGCUGGAGGUGGGCGUGGCCUGCAGACCCGCAGCGAAGCGGGGUGUGCUAGGACCGGCUUCACGAUCAGCGACAGGUGCGUAGAUCACCCACCUGGGCCUGGUUAUCUAAUCACCUGUCGCUCUGUUAAAAGGCAGCAGAUGCGGAGGAGAGAGGUAGUAGAGCUGGAGCAAGAGCAAGAGAGAGAGAGAGAGAGAGAGACGCAAACAAAAACUUGCUGAAAAGCACAACCAAAAUAAUUUUUGGAAAAAUAAACAGCAUUGUAAACCGGAAACCUGAACUGUCAUGUCAGUGUUUGGUGGUCAGAGGAACCUGGAGGAUAGAAACCUCCACAAUAAUCCUUUCAAAUAUCACUACAAAUUACUGUAAAUUCAAAUGAUUUGUCUCUUAAAGGGGUCAUUGUUAUGAUUCCUCUUUUGUUUAACACCAGUGAUUCUCAAACUGUGGUGUGGGUACCACAACAGUAGUUAUGCUGAUGACACCCAACUCUACAUGCCCCUAAAGCUGACCAACACGCCGGAUUGUAGUCAGCUGGAGGCGUGUCUUAAUGAAAUUAAACAAUGGAUGUCCGCUAACUUUUUGCAACUCAACGCCAAAAAAACGGAAAUGCUGAUUAUCGGUCCUGCUAGACACCGAACUCUAUUUAAUAAUACAACUCUAACAUUUGACAACCAAACAAUUAAACAAGGCGACACGGUAAAGAAUCUGGGUAUUAUCUUCGACCCAACUCUCUCCUUUGAGGCACACAUUAAAAGCGUUACUAAAACGGCCUUCUUUCAUCUCCGUAAUAUCGCUAAAAUUCGCUCCAUUCUGUCCACUAAAGACGCUGAGAUCAUUAUCCAUGCGUUUGUUACGUCUCGCCUCGACUACUGUAACGUAUUAUUUUCGGGUCUCCUCAU